UUCCAGUGUUUUUAAUGUUGAAGGGCAAGGCCAUUCAUUUCAUUGUAAUUAUACAAAACACACAACAAACAAAAGCAAUUCCCCAGAUGAUAUUCUUUCCAAGCUCUAGGGUUGGGUUGAAAGGUGAUAGGUCAAGCUUAUUUGCCAUGUUUUCAUACUCAUGCUGGUGACAAUGACUCAUCAAAUGUUGAUUAUAUUAAUGAUGAUAUUUUUGGAGGGAGGGAUUGUUAUAAUAGGGAACCUAGUUUAGCUUUAACAUUAGCAUCACCUAUUAAUGUCUCUUAAACAAGUGCCAAAGUAUUACUACAACAAACACAAUUUCAGCUUUGAAAACACAAUAUAUAUUUUUAUUUUGUAACACACUGCAUUUCCAACUAUGUAUUUUCUUUAUAAUUUAUAUAUAAUCUAUAUAAUUUUCACAUAUAUAUGUGUCAUACAUCCUAUAUCCAUAUCAUAUCAAAUUAAUGAAACCUAAUUAGACUCAUCUAUCAAUCAAUGGGGAUGAUUUUCUGAUAUUAAAACUUAUCUAUGGAGGAUUGGAGGGGGUACUUGGACGAUUUCAAAAGAGGUAUAUUUGUUGUUUGAAAUUGGUUAUGAAAGAUUGCAACCAACUGAAAACUUAUGAAUUUUACAUUCCAUUUUGGACAAGUCUAUUCUGCUGGAUGCCCCUCAAUUCUACACACUGUACCUUUGAUAAAAUGUGUUGAAUCUGAAGGGCACACCUCACCUCACCUUCAAAUGUUUUGUGCUGUUGAAAGGAGUACUAAGAUGAAAAGAUAUCUGAGCGGAAAAUUUGGUUGGCUCCAAUUUUGCCUUGAUUCUUUCAUCUUUGUAUACAAACCGUUCCAGUAACGGUAAGUGUUAGAUGAACAACAACUGAACCACGCUUCAAAACCAUGAAUGUAGGAGCAAUGAAAGUAUUCUGGAAAUGAUCCGGCCCCUCUUCUCCACCGCUCUGCUCUAUCUUGCUGUGGUUGGGUCCUUUUGACUUGAAGCAAGCCCCCUGCGGGAAGGAGCCAGGAAU
Long non-coding RNA from Gadus morhua (Atlantic cod), 1024 nucleotides. Lineage: Eukaryota; Metazoa; Chordata; Actinopteri; Gadiformes; Gadidae. The record is from Ensembl.